Molecule: long non-coding RNA, 1602 nt
Filed under: Exaiptasia diaphana
Lineage: Eukaryota; Metazoa; Cnidaria; Anthozoa; Actiniaria; Aiptasiidae
Description: uncharacterized LOC114574466
Source: RNAcentral
UGUAUCAUAUGAACAUAUGUCUGUGGAAGUGCUAAGGACUCCUUUAAAUACUGAAGAGAGUCGAAACUUAAACUGAACGUUCUCUUUUCUCUCAGGCUUUCUCUAUUAAGAACCCUUGCAAGUACCAAAGCAGCUUCAUCUGAGAGACAAAACGAAAGAUUAAGGAAUGAUGUAGAAUNAAUUGUUUUGUUCUCCAGAUGGAACUGCAUUUCGUGNUCUACAGUGACGUGUUGUUUUAUUUAGAUGUACCUAUAAACUAUAAACAAUGUCAAUAUUUUGUUUUUAAGGGGAUUCUUGUUUUUGUUUUCUACUGCGCAAGAAACACCGAGUUAUGGGACUAUCAUUCGGAAAAGAANCAGCACGAGACNGAGGAGAGGAAUGCNGUUUACCANUUCCAAUACGUGCCAUGAANANACAUGGUCUCAUUACCAAUUCAUAUGCACNCNGAGUUGGCAUCCUGCAUGUCUAUCAUCACCUGCACUCGGCGAACUUUCNCCACUUCUGCAUGGACACCAUAUGCACUACCAAAUCAAGAAAGUCUUAUUCAGUUCCCUGGAUAAAAAAAGAUGAUACAGCGAAAUCCAUUCAGUUAAUUAUUCGUUCCUUUUCGACCAAAACAUUACCNUGGAAUACUCCAGUUUCGAGAUCUUAUUUGUGCAGCCUNAACCUCGAAAGCAUGUAAAAUAUUCUUUUAUUCAGCAGAGAUCCUAUUGUAAUGCAAACACUCUGUCUACAAAGAAGACAAUAAAAAUUUAUGUUUGAUUGAAGCUAAGCUUGCACAAAAGAGAAUUAGAAACUGGAGCAUUGCAGUCAUUUACCUUAGUGAUUUAGAGACGAGUUUUUACAGAGUAAACGUUACAUUGCCUCGUCAGAUUGUACAAGUAAAACUACACUAUUAUACCAAAAAUAUAUGAGACUUUACAAGGAGGACGAUGUAUUCAGGUUUACGAGUAUCCCAGAGCCUUUGCAAGAUUUUCUCAUAUGCGAAAAAUCGCCAUAUAGUUAAUUUAAUUUUGAACUAAUCAAAUAGCAACUUUCAAGAACAGAUCUUAAUCAGAACAAACGGUCGCAAAGGUUGUCGGAUGCAGGUGGAUCCUUCACAUAUGUACUCAAUUGUUUUCAGUUAGAUUGUUACACCUCAGAUAUAGCGUCAAGCGCGUCUUAAUUUUAAUAGGAAAAAAAAUCCCCUUGCUGCCUUGUAAUAAACUAUUUGAAAAUGCAAACAUUAUUCGUUCACAUCAAUAAAAUACACAACUAAUGAUUCGGUGUUUAAGAAGCGUUUUUGAGUAUAUCUUGGAAGGUAACUUGAUCAAAAUGUCAAGAAAUAAAGAGAGUGAAUAAAAGACCGAAAGAAAAUAGGGGAGGGAGUAAAGAAUGGAAAGAAAGAGCUCGAGGGAAACACGAUCUGAUGGAAGUCAAAAAAGGAAAUGGGAACAAAAGAAUAGAAAGGAAAAAAGAGGAGAAAAGGGAAAACAGUCAUUAUAUCCAUAUAUUAUGCAGCUUUUUAUUGAAAUUUAAGCAUAUUUUAGUUGGCAACAAUCAACACGAAUGGAUUACAAUACAUUUAUAUUAAGCUAACGCUUAAAUGCUUCAAAAUCAUGA